This 241-nucleotide unclassified non-coding RNA is filed under the name Hevea brasiliensis (rubber tree). The record is from RNAcentral. Lineage: Eukaryota; Viridiplantae; Streptophyta; Magnoliopsida; Malpighiales; Euphorbiaceae.
CUGGGCCUUGGAAAAAAGGGGCAAAGUGUAGUUCCUUUACCAACAAAAGUGGAAUGCUUGAGUGGGCUCACUAUUAAAAUGGUUGCUUUGGCCUCUGAACACUCAAUUGGUGUUACUGAUGGAGGUGAGGCAUUAAGUUGGGGAGGGGGAGGUUCUGGACAACUUGGUCAUGGCAAUCAAUCAAGCAUCUUAGGGUUUUUGAGGAGCACCAGUGAGUAUACACCAAGGCGUAUUACAAAAC